Long non-coding RNA from Gavialis gangeticus (Gharial), 96 nucleotides. RefSeq lists it as uncharacterized. The transcript is spliced from 3 exons. NCBI's taxonomy places the organism in Eukaryota, Metazoa, Chordata, Crocodylia, Gavialidae. The record is from RefSeq and is a predicted model, not a curated record.
CAUUGCUUCUCUUAUGGAUAUAGACCAAUUCCCAAUCACUUAUACUAGUACAAGUAUAAUGUCUGUACCUGGCCCAGGUUUCAAAUAGGAUUCCAU